GAUGAAGAACGCAGCGAAAUGCGAUAAGUAAUGUGAAUUGCAGAAUUCAGUGAAUCAUCGAAUCUUUGAACGCACAUUGCGCCCGCCAGUAUUCUGGCGAGCAUGCCUGUUCGAGCGUCAUUUCAACCAUCAAGCCCCAGGCUUGUGUUGGAGCCCUGCGGCUGCCGCAGCCUCCCAAAACCAGUGGCGGGCUCGCUAUCACACCGAGUGCAGUAGUUUACUCUUCGCUCAGGGCGUGUGGCGGGUGCUAGCCGUGAAACCCCCAACUUCUCAAGGUUGACCUCGGAUCAGGUAGGAAUACCCGCUGAACUUAAGCAUAUCAAUAGCGGAGA
This 332-nucleotide unclassified non-coding RNA is filed under the name soil metagenome. Its description in RNAcentral is "partial contains 5.8S ribosomal RNA, internal transcribed spacer 2, and large subunit ribosomal RNA". The stretch from base 1 to 120 matches the Rfam family "5.8S ribosomal RNA", at positions 35 to 154 of the family's 154-position model. The record is from RNAcentral.